This 70-nucleotide small nucleolar RNA is filed under the name Callithrix jacchus (white-tufted-ear marmoset). RNAcentral describes it as "Small nucleolar RNA SNORD30 (ENSCJAG00000052984.2)". It matches the Rfam family "Small nucleolar RNA SNORD30". From Rfam's summary of the family: U30 is a member of the C/D class of snoRNA which contain the C (UGAUGA) and D (CUGA) box motifs. U30 is encoded within the U22 snoRNA host gene (UHG) in mammals and is thought to act as a 2'-O-ribose methylation guide for ribosomal RNA. The record is from Rfam by way of RNAcentral. Lineage: Eukaryota; Metazoa; Chordata; Mammalia; Primates; Cebidae.
ACACAUGAUUAAUUACAUGGAUUCUCAUUCAGCUAAUGACUUGCUGCUGAAACAUAGAAAUCUGAAUUUU